This 404-nucleotide ribosomal RNA is filed under the name uncultured bacterium. RNAcentral's name for it is "bacterial SSU rRNA". It matches the Rfam family "Bacterial small subunit ribosomal RNA", at positions 355 to 776 of the family's 1533-position model. The record is from RNAcentral.
UGGGGAAUAUUGGACAAUGGGGGAAACCCUGAUCCAGCCAUGCCGCGUGAAUGAUGAAGGCCUUCGGGUUGUAAAGUUCUUUUAGUAGGGACGAUGAUGACGGUACCUACAGAAUAAGCUCCGGCUAACUUCGUGCCAGCAGCCGCGGUAAUACGAAGGGAGCUAGCGUUGUUCGGAAUUACUGGGCGUAAAGGGCGCGUAGGCGGUUUAGUAAGUCAGAUGUGAAAGCCCCGGGCUUAACCCGGGAACUGCGUUUGAGACUACUAGACUUGAAUUUGGAAGAGGUAAGUGGAAUUCCCAGUGUAGAGGUGAAAUUCGUAGAGAUUGGGAAGAACAUCCGUGGCGAAGGCGGCUUACUGGACCAACAUUGACGCUGAGGCGCGAAAGCGUGGGGAGCAAACAGG